RNAcentral lists this long non-coding RNA (881 nucleotides) under Monodelphis domestica (gray short-tailed opossum). RNAcentral's name for it is "lncRNA (ENSMODG00000025662.2)". Lineage: Eukaryota; Metazoa; Chordata; Mammalia; Didelphimorphia; Didelphidae. The record is from RNAcentral.
AUUUUUUUUAUUAAAUAAGCAGAUUUUUAGAUACUCCAAUGAUGGGAUUAUCUGAAUAAAACUGAUUGAACCUGAGGCUGAGGAGCUUGGAACAUUGAAUCAUGACUUGUGUAAAUCUAUAUAAAUCAUUUUCUGUGCCAGAGAAUGAAUAGCCAACUUCAUUCAAAUGCCAAUUCAGCACUUACAAAGUCUGCUAACAGUUAAUUAGAAACUACCAUCUCAUUAUAUUCUGAGGUCACAAUGACUGCAAAAGACGACAAAAUUUUCAUUAGCAUGUUGGAUAUUAAAGAUCUGAAAGACAAUGAAUUGACUGAACAGCUUAAGAAGCACGGAUAUAGUCCGGGUCCUAUACUACCUUCCACAAGACGAGCUUAUGAGAAGAAACUACUAGAAUUGUUGACAGCUAUCUGUCCAACAAAAUGUGAGGAGAAGACAAGUGGAAGGAUAUGUCAGCAGGAAAGUGGAGAAAAAAUCAUUGCUUUGAAAAGAAACAGCGAAAUGUUAUCAAGAAUAACAGAAGAAAUCCAAAACGAUAAACUUGAAAACCACGAAGAUGAUGAUGAUCAGAUUUGCACCCCUUUACCUCUCCAGUGCCAACAGAUGACUCAUGAGGAAACUCCACCUUAUUCUAUGGAUGACGAUAUUGACAUCUAUUGUCCUACUGCCAGCCCUCACCCAGGAAUAAGGCAAUUAAAUUGUAUGGUGGAUACAGUCCUGGACCUUGAGUUAGAAGAGAUCCUAGUUCAGAUCUGACUUCAAACACUUCGGCUAUGUGACCUUUGGUGCAGCUAAGUAGCUCAGCGAAUGAAACACCAGGCCUGGAUUUGGAAGGACCUGGGUUCAAGUUUGGCCUCAGAUACUUCUUAGUUGUGUGACUCUGG